GUGCCAGCCGCCGCGGUAAAACGUAGGAUCCGAGCGUUAUCCGAAUUUACUGGGCGUAAAGCGCGUGUAGGCGGUUCGGUAAGUUGGAUGUGAAAUCUCCUGGCUCAACUGGGAGAGGUCGUUCAAUACUGUCGGACUAGAGGGUAGGAGAGGGAGGUGGAAUUCCCGGUGUAGUGGUGAAAUGCGUAGAUAUCGGGAGGAACACCUGUGGCGAAAGCGGCCUCCUGGCCUAUUCCUGACGCUCAGACGCGAAAGCUAGGGGAGCAAACGGGAUUAGAAACCCCUGUAGUCC
Molecule: ribosomal RNA, 292 nt
Filed under: uncultured bacterium
Lineage: Bacteria
Description: partial 16S ribosomal RNA
Rfam family: Bacterial small subunit ribosomal RNA
Source: RNAcentral